RNAcentral lists this ribosomal RNA (410 nucleotides) under Aspidoptera phyllostomatis. RNAcentral describes it as "partial small subunit ribosomal RNA". Lineage: Eukaryota; Metazoa; Arthropoda; Insecta; Diptera; Streblidae. The record is from RNAcentral.
ACCCUAUUAUUAAAAUUGUAAAAAGUAAUACUUAGGUAGUAUUAGAUAUGUUCUUGAAACCUAAAAAAUUUGGCGGUAUUUUAAACUAUUCAGAGGAACCUGUUCUGUAAUCGAUAAUCCACGAUGGACCUUUCUUAAAUUUGUUUAUCAGUCUAUAUAUCGUUGUUAUAAAAAUUUUUGAAGAAUAAUUAAUUUUUAAUAUUUUUUAAAAAAAUUAAUAUCAAAUCAAGGUGUAGCUUAUAUUUAAGUAGAAAUGGGUUACAAUAAAUUUAUUUUUUGGAUUUAAAUUUGAAAUUUUUAAUGAAAUUGGAUUUGAAAGUAAAAUUAUAAAGAUUAAUAAUUUGACUAUAGCUCUAAAAUAUGUACAUAUCGCCCGUCACUCUUAUUAUUAAGGUAAGAUAAGUCGUAAC